UACGGGGGGAGCAAGCGUUGUUCGGAUUUACUGGGCGUAAAGGGCGCGUAGGCGGCCAGCGCAAGUCAGUUGUGAAAUCUCCGGGCUUAACCCGGAACGGUCAACUGAUACUGCGCGGCUAGAGUGCAGAAGGGGCAACUGGAAUUCUCGGUGUAGCGGUGAAAUGCGUAGAUAUCGAGAGGAACACCUGCGGCGAAGGCGGGUUGCUGGGCUGACACUGACGCUGAGGCGCGAAAGCUAGGGGAGCGAAUGGG
Molecule: ribosomal RNA, 254 nt
Filed under: uncultured bacterium
Lineage: Bacteria
Description: partial 16S ribosomal RNA
Rfam family: Bacterial small subunit ribosomal RNA
Source: RNAcentral